GGAGGAAAAGAAACUAACAAGGAUUCCCUUAGUAACGGCGAGUGAACCGGGAAAAGCUCAAAUUUGUAAUCUGGCUGUCUUCGAUAGUCCGAGUUGUAAUCUAUAGACGUGUUUUCCGUGCUGGACCGUAUCUAAGUCCCUUGGAACAGGGUAUCAAAGAGGGUGACAAUCCCGUGCUUGAUACGACCACCAGUGCUCUGUGAUACACGUUCUACGAGUCGAGUUGUUUGGGAAUGCAGCUCAAAAUGGGUGGUAAAUUCCAUCUAAAGCUAAAUAUUGGCGAGAGACCGAUAGCGAACAAGUACCGUGAGGGAAAGAUGAAAAGCACUUUGGAAAGAGAGUUAAACAGUACGUGAAAUUGUUGAAAGGGAAACGAUUGAAGUCAGUCGUGUUCUUCAGAUUCAGCUGGUUCUUCCAGUCUACUUCUGUUGAACGGGUCAACAUCAGUUUUGUCCGGUGGAUAAAGAUAGUAGGAAUGUAGCUCCCCCGGGAGUGUUAUAGCCUAUUGUUGCAUACACUGGGUGAGACUGAGGACUGCAGCUCGCCUUUUGGCCGGUCUUCGGACACGUUCGAGCUUAGGAUGUUGACAUAAUGGCUUUAAACGACCGCUGGGAAAAAC
RNAcentral lists this ribosomal RNA (619 nucleotides) under Cutaneotrichosporon spelunceum. RNAcentral's name for it is "partial 26S ribosomal RNA". It matches the Rfam family "Eukaryotic large subunit ribosomal RNA", at positions 52 to 662 of the family's 3401-position model. Lineage: Eukaryota; Fungi; Basidiomycota; Tremellomycetes; Trichosporonales; Trichosporonaceae. The record is from RNAcentral.